Molecule: unclassified non-coding RNA, 220 nt
Filed under: plant metagenome
Description: partial contains small subunit ribosomal RNA, internal transcribed spacer 1, and 5.8S ribosomal RNA
Source: RNAcentral
UUUCCGUAAGUGAACCUGCGGAAGGAUCAUUACAGAGUUCAUGCCCUCACGGGUAGAUCUCCCACCCUUGAAUAUUUAUACCUUAGUUGCUUUGGCAGGCCGUGGAAACACCAUGGGCUCCGGCUUAUGCGUGCCUGCCAGAGGAAACAAACUCUGUUUUUAGUGAUGUCUGAGUACUAUAUAAUAGUUAAAACUUUCAACAACGGAUCUCUUGGUUCUG